Molecule: non-coding RNA, 296 nt
Organism: Pelobates cultripes (western spadefoot toad)
Lineage: Eukaryota; Metazoa; Chordata; Amphibia; Anura; Pelobatidae
Source: the annotation of a GenBank genome assembly
GUUUGCUUUGUCAUGUGUUUUGCAAUCCAUGACAAAUGAAAUGACAAAUUACUUUACUAUCAUACAUGGCUGAUUGCAGUUCCAGUUUUCAGCUGUGGAUGUCACCACUGUACUAUUUGUCUGAGGCAGAACAUAUCAAUUAAACUGUGAAUAGCUUUCUCUCCCCGCACUCUGAUUCCUCUUCUGCAACUGGCCCUCGAUGAAUAGUAUCCUAGCAACCUACUUUUCUACCCUUACCUUUUGUGUCAAUAUACCCCACUCCCUAUAGCAUGUAAGCUCAUUGAGCAGGGCCCUCA